CUGCGCUGCGGGCGUAGCGGAGCUACGGGAAUAGGAGGGGAAGCGCGAGCGCGGCGGCGCUUCGUGAGGGGAAAUGGCGGGAGGAGCAGCUCCCUCACGGCCGCUGGGGCCUCUUCAGCGUCUCCUGAGGCCGUCCGGGAUGGGGAAGCCUGGCCUCGGCCCGCGGGGAGCGAGUGCUGUGGAGACCGAGGGGCCUGUGGGAAACACUGUCCCGGUGCCUCCUUCAGGGCUUGUGCCUCAUAGGGCUGAGUCCCGCGGGUGGAGCUGCGCUCGCUUUCCCCUUCCCUCCCUGUGUCCUUUCUCGCGCCGCCGCUUUUCCUCUGUCCCUUAUUGCCCAGCACCUCUGUAGGCACACGGGCCGUAUUUCUGCUCGCUGUGUUCUUCAGCCUUUUCCUCAGUAGCGCAGCUCCCGAUCUCAGCUCCUUCCACGCCUUCUUCAGCCUCCCCCGCUCCUGCUCUGUGCCCGCGCUCCUCCGCGCCGGGUCCCGCAGGGAGCGCUCCGUGUGCUGGGAGCCGUGCUGUAACGUUUGGGGGAGGCCCUCUGCCACCAGAGGGAGAUUGCCCGGGCUGCUGGGGAAGCGGCGGAAACAUCAGCUGCGAGGCUGCCGACAAAACGCGCGGGAGUUUGACAGCUGCGUGCCGCGAACAGGUACGGUUUCCACAUUGAACCUGCUUGGGAGGAAUCACUGCUAUUCAGUCUGCAAACUGCUGACAUUCCAGCUCCAUGACCAGUUUUGUCAGAGAGCUUGAAUGAGGCUGCAAAGGUUGGAGGAGCCACUUAAGGAGGCGCAGCCUUGUUAGCUUCAUGGAAAGCUAACGAAGACCAGACCCUGUGCCUGUGUGAGUGCUGGAGGAGCGGGGAGUGCAAGCAGCCACAGGCAGUAAAUGUCUGCAGGGUCAGGCAUAUGUGAAGCUGCAAAACAUGCUGGAGCAUCCAGACGGUGCCUCAAGCUGGCCACACGUUCCCAGAAAUAAAGAAAAACACCAGAGCCUACCUGCAGAAUGACCUUUCUCCUAACUGACUUGCAGCUCCGAAGCUUUUGUGCUGGAAGAGAUAGGGAGAUGAAGUGCUCUCCUGUUCAGUGUAUGCGGAAGAGACUGGAGCUGAGUUGCUAUCUUCGUAACAGUAAAACUACAGCGAGAUCUGAAUUCUUUGUUCAUGUUUCGUUGCCUGCUUUGAGGCAAGCAGUGGUGAUGAGAGCAGACAUCAGCCGUAGGACACUUCUUGGCAGUGUGAGGGGAAGCCAAGACUGAGCAUAUGGCUUGUUGCAAGCUCUGACCUUCCCAGCGAUCUGGGGCAAAGCCAAGCGGCUGGAAUCUCCAUCGAGUGCCAUUCAGAAGCCUACCUGAUGCUAUGGAAAGCCCCUGUGCCAUUUCUGGGAAAAUAAAUCCAUGGGACCUGGUGCUAAGCAGCAGCACAGCUCCAUGGAUGCUCUCAGGUGGGGACUUGCUGGCCAUGGGUGCCCCUUGCAUGGCUCUGUGAAUUCAGGGGACCAUUGGAGAGCAGACUGGGAUGCCUGAGGGCACACUUCUACAAGCCACACAUGCAAUCUGUUGAGAUCUUAGUCGUCAUCAAAGGAAAAAGCGUGUUUGGGAUGAGUUUGGAAACUCUCCAGCCAUUCUAAGUGUGAAAUCUGCAGCUGGCUGGCCAGGAAGAGACCUUGAAUAAGCACAACGUAACCGCUCGUGGUGGCUUGCCAAGAUCUGGGUGGGAAAAGCCUUCCUUUGAAGAGGAUUUCCCUCUUCUCCCAAGGACUCCCCAGCUGCUGAGCUUUUUUUGUUGCCCCAGCCUCGUGGCUAGGAUUUGUAUUUCUCAAGACCUUGAAGCCUAUUCCCCUCUCCAAUUCUUCACAGAGUUCACUGCAGCCUGGCUCCGGUCACACAGCUGUUUGCUCCUUCACUGGAACCUGCUUCGAACAGAAAUGAUUUUGACUUUAUUUUCCUUUUGCUGUGCAGCCACCUAAUUACUUAACAUUAUAUUGCAGCCUCUUCCUACAGCAUUGCCAAAGAGCUCAUCAAAGCCUCUCUGCCCCAGCACUGGGGAAGGUGGAUUAUUAGUCUCUCCGUGUUCAAGGUUAGAGAUGUUCCCUUCUCUCAUGGACUAGCGACUCUUCCAGACACAUCUUUAGCCUUGCCAUUCAAGAUCAAAACCAGAGGCAGCUGGGAGCGCGUUAGAGUAAUGUGCACUCAAAGGCAGCACUUUGUUUCCUGUAAGUGACUAUCAGCUGAGCCUGUGAUGUGCUGAAAUCGGACUGAUUCUCCCCGCAGAGGGGAGCAGCCUGUCUGGGAGCUGGCUGUGGAACAGCGAAGGCUGAGCGCAUACUGUGGCAUGCUAAUGACUGACCUUGUUUCUCUUGCUUCAGCCCUCGGUGUCUGCUGCUAGGAAGGUUUCUGAUGGGUGAUAGCAGCAAGUGUUUCCGUAGAGCAGACUUCACAAAGCUGAGAUUCCUCCAGACCCUUGAGAGGCUGCUCUGGAGUAUCACAAACUUAAUACUUGGCAUAACUGGAUCCAUUUGGUCUUGAGGUGGUGGGAGGAUUAUCUGGUCUCCCUCCUGCCUUGACAAAAUAAGGCUCCUAAAUCUCCAUGUUUCACCUCUUUAUGCAUGUACUGAGUCCCAAAGCUAACAGUAGACAAAAUAUAUCCUCACUGGCCAUGAUUUCUCAAAUAUGUGAUGUCCUAGAGAUGAGUUAAUAUGCUGGGCAGGAGGGGAUAUGUGAGAAAGCAAGAGGCUUGGUUAAAUACUCCUGUCCUGCAUUCAGAUUUAGUGUGCAUGCACCUGAGCUGUGUGCAGAGAGCAGCUGCUGGGGCCUGGCUGUUCCAGUGUCCCACACUGUAUGCAGCACUGCAGCACUGGGAGGAAAAGCAAGGGAAGGAUUUGCAUUGGUAAGGAGAAGGAGCCAGAAAUGGAGUGGGAAAUAUUGGAAGGGCAGUGGGCAGAGUCAUGGGAGCCAGAUCUGCUCUUGGAUGGCAGCUGUUGCGUCCGUUUGCUCAGCAGGUAUGUUCUUGCCUUCUCAGGAAGAGCUGGCUUUUCAGAAGAGAGGGAGAAGAGAACAGAGGAAAAACUGGAGGGGAAAUGAGAGGAAAUAAAAGGAAAUAGAAGACAAAGGGAAAAGGCAGCAAAUGGAUGGAAGAAUUAGACAUGGAGUGCAGAAAGGACUGUAUGUCCCCAGUUGCUUUGAGCACUCAGCAGAUCCUGUGGUGUGUCUGCUUUAUUACUGACAGAGUUCUCCCUUCUGUCGGCUUGUUUCCUAAUUGCUGGUCUUGUAAACUGCUUGAUUUAUGGCUCUGUUCAUCAGUUCUGGCCCUCGGGUAUAACAUGCUUUUCCUUCCAGGCUGGGAAGUGAAUAACGAAUUAACAGCCCGCCUUAGGUUCAGUAAGAAGCUAAGCAUUCAGGGAUCUUUAUUGUGAUGCACGUGCCAAAUCUAACUGCUUAAUUUUUACUUCUCAUUCACGGAUGCUAUUCAGCGAGUCCUUCCCCAGGGCAGCAGCUGCGUCGUGGAUGCUUGGUGCCUUUGAAGUGUCCCACAAGUGAAGCCACCAAGGAAUGGAUUUGCAGUUGGUUUGCACAGAGAACUCAAUCUGUUUCCUCGCAGCUUGCUCUGGAGCUGACAUUGUGUGCCAUACAUGCUUGUCUCGGACAAACUUCCUUUCAGUGCAGUCGAGGGAUGAAGAUCAAGGCAAAGAACAAACAGCCCUGCUGAGCCGAAGCUGUCACCCCCCGGUGUGCAAGCAGCCUUCAAGCCAGCCUCUGGCUGUCCUCCCCACAUUCAGUGCUGAAAAGAGGUCCAGGGAAGGCAUGCAGCUGUUGCUGAGCAGUGCUACAAUGAACUAAAGGGGUUUUGAUGAGAUUCAGCGCCAGGUGAGUGGAAGCUGCUGUUAAUCCAAGUGUUUGUUCUCUCUGCUGAUUUGUCUCAUUGUCUCAUUUCUUCAUUGACACCUGGUUUUGGCAGUCUUUAACAGUGUAGCUCUCUCUCUGACCUUCUCAGACCAGCUAAUGACAGUGGAACAAAGCUUCUGGGCCAGCAUCCUGGUGCAAAUGUCAGUCUAGUCCUUCUGCACUGCUUUCCUCCCUCUUCUCCCUAGCAGAGUCCACUCAGGUGCUUUGCAGGAAGCUGCAAGAUAGCUCCCAUGAAGGCUGAGAUGCUCUGAGUUCAAAGGUAUUUCUCUCUCACGUCCUCCACGAAUGACUUGUGCUCACUAGCUCACAGCUGCCAGCUGGUUUAAGUUUUUAAGCCCAAGCUGAUGUAGCUGUGGGGCUCUGUGAGAAGUGCAGAGCACGUCUGGGCACGAGGACAGGCAGAGCGAGUGCCUCUGCCAUGGCUGAUGCCAGGAUGGAAGUGCCAGCAGCUGCAGGGCUGAGCUGGCUGAUAGAACAUGGCUCAGGCUGGGGGCUGUUCAUGUUCACCCCACUCACUGCCCUCCCGAGAGAGCAGGCUCACUGCUUGGGGUGCAGUUCUGCUCAGGUGUGCUAACUGAAAGUGAGCUGGGAUAGUAUUGCAACCCUGCCCUGUGCUGAAGGAACACAGCUCAGCUCUGCAUGGCUUCGGCUCUCCCUCUCCCAUGCUUAGAAAUGAAGCUAAAGGAAAGAGCUGUAACUCAGUGUCUGAUUCCAGGUCUCCCAUUCAGAAGCCUUGAUUAGGUGGUCAAGCGAGGACCGCUUCCUUCCUCCACCCCAGCUGCAUCCCAGCUGUGUUCAUACUAUGAGUGACGACUGUGAUAAAAUUGCUACUAAAUCCUGUCAGCUCUGAAACAGGAACUAUGAGGGUUGGUCUUUGCAUCAGACAUGUAAUUACCUGUCUACAAAACCAUGAAAAUGUACAAGGGGAAAAAAGACGGAAAAGCAAGAUCUCUGUCAAAUGAGAGAAAACCUAUCAUUUUCCCAUUUUUUUCCCCCUCCAUUCACAGCAGUACACUGCUGGGUUUAAUCCAGCUAGGAACCUGCUCAGGGGUCAGACUGUCUGAUAAGCUACCUGAUGGCUACUGACCCUCAAACCUGUGUCAGAUUGUAGGACUUUUUGUGUGAAAACUCAGGAAAAACUCUCAAUUUGGCAAGGUCUUAGAAGCAGAAAAAUCCAUUUCCUGCAUCAGAAGAAGGUCUUUUUAUGGUAAAUGAAUACUGAAUUGCAAUCAGAAUGCCAAUGCUAUUUGUUAAAUGUGAGUUACUUAAAUAAUUCAUUUUUCACUAAUUAUACAGGAUGUGGUUAGCUUCAAUGAUCACAUGUAAUGAAAGGUGAAUGGUUCCUGCAGCAUUGUCACGACUUUGAUGGUGCUGAUCGAGAAGAGACUGAGGAUUUCCUGAUAGUCUGCAGAUUAUUGCUAACUAAGGAGUCUACCUGGAGUGCCAUGCGUAUCCUGUGCUUGGAGCCAGACCUAGAACAUCCACAGUAUCUCCUCAUUUCCUAGGGAUCCUUAGAUUUGACUAAGGUCCCAAAUUAUCAAAGCUUCUGCCUGAUGUUAAAUGUGUGCUUAGAACUGUUUGAAGUCAAUGAUGCUUAAGUAUGUGCUUCAGCUUUAGUCACACCCUUGAGAGUGUUGCCGAAUGGAGGCUGCUGGCUAGUUAGGGAUAAGCCUAGCUGGCUUCUCUUCCUCCCCCAGGACACGUCUUACCCACUCCAUUAACUCACCCAGCGCAGCAGGCUCGGAGCGCCCCGGUGACUGUCACGGUUAACUUUAUUUCAUUUAAAACACAAUAGGCGAAUCUUUAAGAGUUUGAAAAGUUUCUUCCCCCCCUAGAAACUAAAUGAGAGUGUAUGUAGGAGGAAAAAAAUAUAUCAUCUCUGGCUAUAUUAUCUUACCGUGCCAAGCAGUGGGGAAGCCUCGCAGAGCAUUACUGUGCAGUGGAAGAGGCUUGGUUUUCUGUCCUUGCUUUAAUGAACCUUUGUUCUACCUCUUAACUGUGACCAUUUAAUAACCACUUGACUCACUUUGCCCUCAGCAGGAUGUUGCAUGUAGCUUCCCAGUGCUGAGGAGCAGUUGAAAUUAAAAAUGUAAUUUAAUGAUUCAGCUGGUAACAGACAGAUUACCCAAUAGCCUGCCUGUGGAGCGGACCUUCGUAAGCAUCAUUCUAUACAAGAACGCUUCCUUAGACAACAAUUAACUUGCUGGCGUGUGCGCUAAGCUCCCAAGUCAUCUUUCUGCAGUCUUUAAAUCCUUAGCGUAGAGUCUCUACUGAACAUUCAGCCAACAGCAAAAUGAAAGAAAAUGUUUUUAAUGUAAAGAGUGGUUCAUGCUCUUAGUUUGGAAGCAGAUUUAGGUAUCUUUGCACAGAGGACCCUCUUCUUCAGAGAGGAGUUUGUUUUCUCUCUGAAGACUUCGGGAUUUAAACAUGCAAGGCAGACAGGAGCAGAAAGAGGAGGGUGGCUGUGAGGGGAAGUCAACAUGCAGCUGGAAUGACACCCCAGGCUGCUGCAUCAGUACAAAUCCUUGUGGGCUUUGCUUGGUGUCUGAACAGCAUUCAGAUGUGGGCAAACCCUGUAUGGAAGGAAGCUCAUUAUUAUCUACAAGCCAUCACGAGCAGUAAAGAGCCUUUAAAAAACAAUCUUGUAUACCCAGAGGAACUGAAGAGACCUCCUGAGCACCUGUUUGGAUCAGGAGAAGAGAUGCCUGGGAGAGACAGAAAAAGAAGAGAAAGCCUGUUCUGACUGUGUCAGUGGACUUCAUUUCUCUGGAGUUCAGCUCAGUUCCUGCAAAGAAAUCUUUCCUCCAAAAAAACCCAAGAAGCAAUUCCACCGAAAGCCCUGCUAGAGCAGACAAAGAUCCCUCGUGAUUUUAAAGUCCAUCUAGCCUAUAGGCCCCAACCAGACAGUGGGGCAGGGGAAGUGGAGGUUUAAUUUGAGAGAAAAUUCUGGGUGGCCCAGAGGAAAGAACAACAGGUCUUUCUGCCUGGCGUAUGAAAACACGUUCAUUGUACCUGCCUCUCCUGUCAGACAGGGGUAGGACAAGAAAUGAUGCAUUUGAAUUGGGGUGGGAAAAGAUUUAGGUCACACAUCCCAAAGUUCUUCCUGCAGUGAGGAUAGUUUAUGGAAAAGCUUUUUUUUUUUUAAUAGUUUUGUCUCAUGUAGAAGGUGAUGUUGUGGUUGGGAACUACGAAGGAAGACCUUACUGACGUUCCUACCCCACGCUGCCCCUGACACAAGGUGCUUCACCAGGGUCCGCAGAAAAUCAGAUCAGAUGAAAGCUUAUUUUGAGUAGCGCAUACAAGGUUUAAUUCUUUCUGCUGAGGCCUGUGCGAAAUAAGUCAAGUGUCCUUGACUGUAGCAACCCUCUUUGGAGAGAGAAUUAUUUCGCCAGUUGUACCAUACCCUCUGGUCCAUUCCUAAAAUGAUGCAAAAAUGCGUAUGCUCCGUCACAAGAGAAAUCAUAACGAGAGGCGAAGGUUCAAGAUAAACAUUGUUCUUAGGAAGGCUUUUGAGUUGCCUUCACUUACAGCCAGUUUGCAGCUGACUUUUUUUAGUAAGAACGAAUUUACUGCAAUAGGUGUGAGUCAGCACGAGUAUAUUGCAGGUAAAUCACGUCAGACUAAUUUGAUCCCUUGUGCUAGUGAAAUAACUAUCAGUCUAGGUAGCGUAAAUCCGUUUGGUCUUCCAGACUGUCUGAACAAAAUUUUGCAUGAUGGAUUAUAGCGCAACCUCCUUCCAAAUGUAGGUUAAAAGAAAUGGUGAUCAAAAAGGCUGAAAUACAGGCAGGGGACAGAGUCAUGGCUUGGGGUGAACUGUGGGAGUCGGCGAGGAUGUGGCAGAGGCAUUUAGUCCUGCAAAAUCUUCUGCUGAGGUGUUUUAAUAGUGUUAUUAAAGAUGAAUGCAACUCCACAGCAUGUAGGAUCUUUAAUUUUGCAGAUGAUACAAAGCUGAAGGGAUCACGCAAGACUUAGUGAUCUUUCUUUGCAGAGAAGUUGCUUUUUGACAGUAUAAUCUUGCUAAAUGCUGUAAGUAGACUCAAAACCUCAGUAUGAUUUUGACUGGGCCUUUAACAGAGAACUGGAGGUUAGAGCUGGAAUGGCAGCGUUGUCGGUGGAGAUGGAGCUUGUGCCGCAAGCUGUGUUGGGGCAAUGGGAGUGAGGAGUGACCAGCAGGAGGAGUGAGAGAUAUCGUCCUUUCACUUCGGGAUUGUUUGGGUUCUUAAUGCAUUCUCACCAUAAAUGUUUGCGCAGCAGCAUUCGCUAGAAAGUUCUGGUGGUAGCCAUGCUUUAUUGUAGUAUAUAAAAUACAUAUUCUGUUUGGCCGUGUUUUAUUAUAGGAUAUAAAAUAUGUAUUCUCUUUGUAGCUGAUGUAGCAAUUAUAUCUGCGAAAAUUUAUAUUUAUGUGUCUGAGUAAGGGCUUACCUAAGCAUGCAGCUGCUCCUGAUUACCUGCAGAUAAAGGAGGAAGAACUGGAUAGGAACAAAAACUGCAUGUUCUUGUGCAAGCCUGCUGACAUGCUGGAAGAGUUAACUGGGAAGAGAUACUACAUGGUUUCUUCCUGGCCUAUUGUAAUACACAGUAAUGUGGAAGCGUAACUGUGUAUGUGUUUAGCUGUAUAAAUUUUAUUCCUAUCAUAGCCAUUAUCUGAGCUUCACAUUCAUCUGGCUCUCUGCUUUUAGGUGCUCCUCAUUACAAAGUCUCAGCAACACUAUGCCAGUCUGGGCAAGAAACGUGCUUCCUCUGCUCCCACUGAGCAGGAGACAGCUGAGCUGUCCAGCAGACAACUCGGUGCUUUCCUGCAGCUUUCCUACCGGUUGGUGAAGGUAAUGUGAUGGCUGUGCUGCUCCAGUGCUACAUGCGCUCCUCUUUCUGUGGCAAAAACAAGUGCAGUCUUUGGAAGAUGUACUAUAACUGUCAGCUGAUUUGUUGCAUGAGAUUCUGAGAAAAGGAAGAGUGAAAAUAGCAGGAGAGUGGUUUUUCAUCUCAUUUGGACCCUGAUUUAAAUGGGUUUCUGGGGCAGCAUUCAUUUCUGGGAUAAGAGCGAAUCUUUAGGAUUGAGGUUUCUGCAACAGGAGCAAUCUUUUAGGGGUAUCCACCACCUGUAUUUUGGGUUUAGAGUACACAUUUAAAGGUGACCUGUCAAUCUGACAGCACACCCAGAUGCAGCGUUUACUGAUUUCUCUGCCACCAAGAAGCUGAACCACAAAUCUCCAGACAUCUGUCAUCACUAACAGAAGGGCAAAAAUAUUAAAAUGGAAACCAUAAAGUUGAAUACAUCAAAGAUACAACCAGAGAAGAAAUAUGAGAUCCCUCUGUAGCAGGCAUAACUCAUUCGCAUUGCCAAUUCAAAAUCAGCCAUAGCAGGAGAAUUUAAUGAUACCAUUGUUUAGUGAAAUUAGACAUGACACUAGCCAGUUACCUUCUAUUUUGGUUGGUUAGGAUUUGCUGUUGUUUGACACUCAUUAGAAAUCACAGUAACCUGCUUUCAGGGCAGUCAAAUUAAGCUUUCCUCUCCCUGUAUGAGAUUACUCAUCACACCACAGCUACAUGAUAAUUGGAAAAUAACUAGUGAAUGAGUACACCUUACAGAAGCUGUCAUCUGAGCAUGUCAGUAAUGUACCCAAGGUGAUCCUGCAAAGAAUUUGGUUGUACACACAACACCUAAGAAAAAACUGUUGCGGGAAAUUAAUGCUACAAUAACUUAUCAGAUGUAAAAAUAAUUAUUAAUCCUUAAUGAUGCUGGUAAUUUCUUUAUGGGCAUUCACCUGCCCUUUUGUUUCCUUUAGUGCCUCCGGCAUGAGAACACAUGCUUUUCUACCUGAACCUCAGCCCCAGCUAGUCUUUGUUUUGAGAGCUACUGUGCCUGCUGGGGAAUUUGAGAGGCUUCACAGUGGUUGUGCUCACAUUAGCAAGGUGCAGCAGGGGCAGAUCUGGGGAUUGCAACAUUUGGUGCUGGUCUGCUGUGUGCAUUCUGGGGGGGAUCUACUUGGGAUAGCUCUGAUCUGGCCCUAUGGUUUGGAACAUUCAAUAGCAACUGGAACACGCUGGGUGAGUUUUUGGAGCACAUCUUGUCAUUUAGUUUUGUCUGAAAAGAAUCUAGUUCUGCAGUGUGGGCCUACAUGCAGUAAGGUCAGGAGUUACCUCAGAAGGUCUGUCCUAGUCCUAAGUAAAACACAAGCCCAUAGAGAUGGAGAAGAGUCUGGAAGAAGCCCGUCAGACCUGCAUCUCAUUGCUGGAAAUGGAUAAGGAAAGUUAAUCUGAACACGCACAGCCUGUUUUGUUGUUUCUAUAACGUGUUUGCUCUGAAAUGCAUUUUGUUCCCGGGAAGCCCUACUUUGCAAUCAGGCAGUUGCUUGUUCUGUGAUGAGCAUUGCUGCUGCCCCAGAGGGAGGGGAUGGCACUGUCUGGACAGGCUUCACAUUUGCUGAAGGAACUUGCUUUUGCUACUCCACCCAAGAUCCAGUCUACAACUGGAAAAGUCGUCUGAUUCCCACUGAAGACUUUGGGUUUAGGAGCCAAGAGAUGGUGUGCAUGUGAGGCGUGUCAGACUGGUCCCAAGUGUAGCUCACCCUGCAGCUGUGACAAGUUUCCAGCCUCAAGUUGGCAGAAGACGUGCAGGUAAGGUUAGCAUUAUCAGUUUAUUCUCUUCAGUGCGUUCUUUUUUAUUUUAAUUGGAAUAUACACUCCUUGUAUCACACUGCCCAAUUCUGCAUGUUCCCUACAUAUUCAAACAGAAGAUGAAUUUUCACUUUUGACAGUUCAGCUUACAAAACCAAGAGAGAGAGGGAAGAAAGGCCCUUCUGCAUCAGUGUGAUGAUGGAUCACUUUUUAUUUUUGCUCAGAUGCCAGGUCUGGAUUUGAAAUAGAAAAGUAAUAUACUGUUCCAUGCAGUUACGUGGGGAGGGGGCCCUGGAGGAGGAAUGCAGACUGCUGUUAGACAGGGCUGGAGAGAUCAGACAGGCACCAGGAGAACAAAAGCCGCCCCUGUUAGAGAUCUGGGGGCUGGUGCUGGAUGGAGCGGGGCCUCCUGCUGCUCGCUGCUCACUGUUGCUGUGGCCAGGCUGGCAUCACUGUGCAGGGAGAAAUGCAGGCAAAGUGCUAAUCUAUCGAAACAGAAGGACAGACUUAGCUUGAGAAGAUGAGCAUGCUGAGCUGGUUUCUGCUCUGUUACACCCUGAAACCUCACUGAUAUCUGUAGAGCUCCCCAGCUGUAACUAGGAGCAGACAGGGGUUCUUUAUGCAUUUUCUCCAGAGCCAAACUGGUGAGGAUUUUGUGAGAACUGGAGAAAUUGAUACUGAGAUUUUUGGCUCUGCGGGAGGGAAUCUCUGUUUGCUUAAUUUGGGAUGAGCCAGUCGUAUAAGUUACAGGACAAAAAGCUUAAGCAGUGGAAGCAUCCCCCAGAGCAUAGUGUAGAGUUGGAGGCAGCUAGGAAAAGUCUUUCAGGCUGCCUGUGUCCUCCUGCAAUGCUUCCUUCACUCCCUCAAAUAUAGAGAAACACCCGCUCCAAAUGUUUUGUGCAAGAACGUGGCUCUGGGACCAGCUGGGCUUAAAACAACCCUGUUUUGUCUAGCUGCCUAUAUAAUUUCUCCCAGAGGCGAAUGAAAGAGCAGCUUCUGGAAAGCAGUUAAUCCCGUAAUUUCACCUAGUUCUCUGGCAAGCACUACCAUUACUGAAAGGCCUUCACUUCUGUUUCUGUUAGGUGUUCUUUCAAGGUGAAAUUUCUAAUUUCCAGCUUUUUGCAGUUGUCUUAGAAAAGGCACCACGGUAUCUGAAAGCCCUCUCCCACAGCUGCCCCACAGUUGCCUUCCCCCCUAUAAGUGCUGGUAGCAGAUAUCAGAUCCCUUCUCAGCUCCAUCUCUGGUGAGCCAGCAGGCCUGGGCUCCUGCAGAAGCACACAGCACACAGCUCCUGGGUCAUUCUUUUCACUUUGCCUGAAUCAUUUCUUUAUUAUCUCUCUCUCCUUGAAGGAUGGAACAGAGAGUGGACACAGCUUUCCAGCAGACAGCCACUGGUGCCACGAACAAGAAGGAAUGCUCCCUGCUGGCGUUAGUGAUUGCCCUUUCCAUGGAGGGAUCAGAGGAGUCCUUUUACGCAGCUUGUGCUUGUCCUCUAAGUCCUUUUCAAACCAGCGGCUUUCCGAGGCCGCAUCCUAGAGGCCACUUGCCGGCCUGCAACUCAGUGGGGAGCAGGGCUAUUCUGAUUGCCACAGAGUGAACUGAAUCUGCAAGCUUCUGAGCACGAGUUGCACGCAGGAAAAGGAUGUCCAGAGCACCUUGCUGAAAGAGAGGAGGCAGAAGAACCUUUGUGCACGCCCUGCUUCCUGUGUGCUUUGCUGAUUUUAACCACAGGACGCUGCUGAGUGCUCAGCGUCGCUCACAUUGGCUGCAGCGCUUGGAGCAUCAGAGCCUGCUCCUCUGACUGCAUCCAGAGCAUCUCUGGUCUGAACGCAGCUCCAUGGCAGCUCUCUGCUCGGCCUGCCAAGGCUCCGGCUCCCAACUGCUGCUCGGCAUCCUCCACCUUCCCUUUGAAAAGAAAGCGAACAAUGUAACCCGGAGUGAGGGAAAGGAGACAAGUUUAUUGUGCACGCUUCUGGGCCCACUGCAUUUUCGGGCCUCAAGACUUGGGACGUGAUCUGUGCACGCCGUGCUGAGCGGGUGAGGCCGAGCCAGGAAGCUGCCAACUGGGACAUCGUGUUCCUCUCUAAGCCAGGCACGUCUCUGACCCUGAGCUGGUGGAGAUCAGUGAUGCAGUAGCACAGAAGGGAGCCAUGCGGCAGGGGACAGAAGGAACCUGCAGCGUGUUCUUCCUGAGAUCUCACAUCUUCUCCACCUCAAAGCAUUUCCUCGUCCUUCUCAGGCUUUGUCCAUACAGAGUGUGAACUUCAAUGUGUUUCCCAACACAACUGUGAGCAAUAUCCCAAACAGAGUGCUGUAACUUCAGGUGAAGAAAAGCAACAGAAGCAGAUGGGCUUGUAAACAGCAGAGAGCUGGCUCCCCCACAGAGGGCCGUGCAGAACAGAGAGGAGCAGAACGCAGGGAGACUACUGCAGAUCCCAUGGAUUGCAACAGUCACAGGGAAGAGAGACCUGUGAAAGAUGGCUCUAGCAGCAGAAGAAAAGGCCGGGGACGCGUGCGGUGACACCCGCUCAGGUGCCACUGCCCUGCAGUUCUUCACAAACUCAAUGAAUGCGCCGUCAGUGAGAAGCAUAAAGGCAGAAUUGGUUUUAGCACAUGAAAGAGAGGCAAGUGCUGUGGCCUGGUAUCAGGCACCGAGUUCUGGUUUUGGGUUGGACACCGAUUCACCCGUGAGCUUGGGGAAAUGGUUUCCUUUUCUGUGCACCUGUUUCCACCCCCCACCUCUAAUUGUCUGUCUGGUUUGCUGCGAGCUCUUCAGGAUGCAGCCCGUCUAGCUUUGUGCACACGCAGCGCCGCGGCACAAUGCAGCCUUGUCUUGGUUGGGGCCUUAGGUGUUGGAGCAGUACAAAACAAAAGGUAUGCCCAGACGGCAGGGCACGCUGCCCAGACGUGCUGCCCUGCAAGCAUGUCUGAAACCUGAUGUGCUGGGAGCUGUCUCCAUUCCCACUCCUCGGCCAACAAAGCAUUAAUCAGUUCCAAUUACACUGGUGGGGUGAACUGGCAUGCUCCCAGUUCUGCUGAGAGCUGGGGUGAAAUCACUGCUCAUUCAGCAGACUCAGGCAGCACUCCAUAGGAACCUGUGUCCUGCAGCCCUGGACCUGCCUCGAGCUUCACUGCCUCCCUGCAGGUGAGAGGCUCCUUACACCAGUCCUGCUGCUCGUCUAACCCCGCUCUGAGCACCUGAGCCCACUCCAGUUUGCCAUUUUCUCCUUUCCUCCUUCGUCUGAGGAGAUGUGUGCAUGCCUCCGGCUUUGCUUCUUGUCUCCCUGCUUCUGCAUAGCCCCUUCCUCAGGUUGUUUUUCCCAGCACUCCAGCCCAUCUUUUGCAUUCCUCCCUGCUUUGAUACAGCAUCUCGUCCUGCUUCACACUCGGAGAAGGGGUAUUAGGUGGAUUCCCCAUAGAGUAUAAAUUGAAUGGAGAGAAGUGGCUGGUUUCCCGGCAAUCAUUUAUCUGAUUAAAAAAAUACUCCCCAAACUCCCCCCACCCCCUCUUGCCGGUGCCGCACCCCCUGCAAAAAGAACGUUGGCACUCAGGCUGGUGUUUGAACUGUGGUAUUCAAAUGGCUGGAAGGGGGAUUUAGAUGGGAAAAUAACUGUCAAAAGAUGGCUCUCCGGGGAAAAAGCAUGAAUGCUGAAAUUUGGAACAUGGGCUGGUGUAUGGAGGAGGCAGAGAGUAAAUAAUUCUGAGUCAAGUACCUCAGUGCUUUCUAGCUUCGCCAUCAUCUAACUAAUAUUUUACACAGGUUCGCACACAGCUGUGCUCACACACAUGUGCCCCUGCACACACGUCUCAUUGGAGAAGCCAGAAGCAACAACUCCAGAGCGAAGCAAGCUGCUCCUGCCACUCCGUUCCUCCUCUCUUUUUAUUUGCCUUCGUUCAGAGCUCGCCCCAAAUCCACUUCACAAAAUGCACGUCUCCUUGUUUGUUACCUGUACAGGUUUUAUCCGUUCAAAUCAGCAUUAUCCAAGGCUAGUAAUGUUCUUCUCCUGCUGCAGCCAGUGUUCCUCCACUUGUAUUUGUGGAGUGGAAAAGUCACCCCUCAACAUCACAGAAACACAGCGUAGGUGACCUGAACUAUGUCCUUCUGGCCAAUCUGUGUUUCUCUGCUGCCUUUUUCUUUGAGGGAGAGAGGUAUUUUACAUUUCAUACUGCUUCCACAGUAUGCAGUGAUUUAUAACAGGAGCUACCUUAUUAAUGUCAAGGGCAGAAUUGCUACCGACACUCAAGCUGCAAGAGCGUAUGAAAAGCGUUUAGUGAGCUGUGGCACGAUCCCAGCACUGAGGGCUGUUGGCUGACGUGUUGGUGGCCUCAGCCCAGCCUGCCUGCUGCUUUCUGGGCCAGUGGGUGAAACGUGAACGGGCCCAUUCUGGGCUGCAGCUCUGCAACCGCCAAGCAACCCUAAGACAGUCUCCAGGGCUCAGGUUUCCUUGAGUUUUGACAGGAGCGCUGCUCAGAGGAAACCUCUCUGCUCCUUCUGGAGGAUUUACAGUGCCACAAGUCUUCAUUUUUUCCAGAUGUUUUACCUAAUAAAUCAAGGAGUCUCAUCAGAGGAUUGAAUCCAAAAGCUGUUACCAUGACUUCAAAGGCACAGAGUGGAGCAGAAAGAAGCAGCGCGGACAUUUUCUACCAGUCUGUAGUCACUGAUUAUGAAAAAAUACUCUGGUUCCAGGGUUUUUUCUGUGGGUACCAGAACUCCACCGUGAUUGAAUAAAAUGGUGCUGUGCCCCCAGCCAACGUUUGCUGGAAAAGAAUCCUGGUGAAUUUGGGCUGCGUGGUUGGCAGAAGUGGGAGUGGGUGACACAGUGUGCUGCUGGCCCGGAGGAGCUCUGCCAGCCCCAUCCACCAUCAGCUCGCUCAGCUUUGAGGUCAGUCUGGCUUUUCAGAUCAGUCUGUGGCUGUGACCACCUCCUGGCCGUGCUUGCUGCAGGUGGCAUUGUGUUUGGGUUGUGCUUGUGGAUUCAGGUACAUGAAUGAGUUGUCACCACGGAGUGUUGGGUAAGGGCUAAGCUAAGCCCUGUCUUACAUUGGUAACAUGUUAAAAGCAUGCAGAGGGUGCUUCCACAAAGCAGAUGGGUGGUCGGGUCUCUGAGGGACCAGGGACCUGUGAAAAUACUGUGCAGCCCCUGGUAAACACUGCCAUUAUGCAGAACUGACUCGGGACAUGGAUUUUCUCCAGUCAUGCUUUAUUUUAUGUGUCUCAGGUGGAGGGCCAUCAGACUGGGGUAAGCCAGGUGCGUAUCUCUUGUACUGCAAUGGUAUGUUCAGACUUAAAAAAAAAAACAACAACCAAGUUCGUCUAAAUAUUAAAUAAUAUGAAUCAAAUUACACUCACCACAAUACAGUUUGUUCCUGCUGCAGACUUCAGAAAAAUUGCUGCUCAUCUUCCCUCCCCCAGGAUGCUGACGCCCAGCAAACUGUCACGGCUGCCUGGGAUUGGUGACAUCUCGAGUGACACGUGUUGGAUCGUCAGAUCAGAGUGGGAGCAGCACAGCUUUGGGAGCCUAAAAAUAGUCCUGCAUGCUAGAGAGAGUUGGAGAGCACCGAUGGGGUGAGGAGCUGAACUUCUGAAAACCAGGAAGAAACGCUGGCAAACUUGUGCUGCUUUUGGAGAUUCUCAAAAUUUGCAAGAGGUCAUCGUCCCUGUCUUCACUACAUCUUACUAAUGAUGCGUGCCGUUGUUUCUGAACUCUUAAAUUAGCAGACUGAGCUAACCCAAUGCAACUUGCAGCAGCUCGAGAGUGCUUCCAGAUCUCAGUGGGAGUCAGAAAGGUUCAGUGCUAGCCUCAGGGAGUCACAAAAGGCGGACCCGGCUUCCCCUCACCAGCCCAACUCCUUCACAUCGCCCUGGAGAACCUGUCUUUCUCCAGGCCCUUUGUGCCUGCCAACUUCCCUGACCCAGUUCUUGUCCCACCACACGUCACAGCAGGAGCUCCCCGCUCACGUUGCUGGGAGCAGUGAGAGGACUGGAAGGACGGGUUCCCUGCUCAGCCUGGGUACGCUCAGACUUGGCACAGAGCAGGGCAGCAGGGAACUGGAACUGCAGGUCCAGCUCUGCUCCCACGGCCUGGGGCUGCGACCUGCUCUGCAAGCGUGAAACCGCUGCAGGAUGGCACUGGCAAACCCCACGAGCACCAGCGGCACGCUCCGUAGGUUUUUCCACAGAGCUCUGUGAGGAAACAUCUCUUGUAAGAAGAGAUGCUUUGAAGACACAAAUCACCUUUUCCUCUGUCCUGAUAAAAGGGAUGACAGCAGUCAGUUUUGAAGCAUAACCUGAGGUUUGAACUUUGGGUGCUUUACUUUCAGCACAAUAGCUGUCCGGUGCUAAUAAAGGUGACUGAAGAUGGGAUUUCAUGAUGGGAAUUGCUAACCAUCACGGUGAUGCUACCAGCCCCACCCAGUAGUCGGUAUGAACCAUUAGUUUGUUGCUGGUAUUCCUCCAGGCGUACCAGCAUAACCAAACCUCCUCAGGAGGAGGCAACCGCUCCCUGCAAUGGGAA
Molecule: long non-coding RNA, 17033 nt
Organism: Numida meleagris (helmeted guineafowl)
Lineage: Eukaryota; Metazoa; Chordata; Aves; Galliformes; Numididae
Exons: 21
Source: RefSeq, a predicted model, not a curated record